Styela clava is the source of this 1519-nucleotide non-coding RNA. The record is from RefSeq and is a predicted model, not a curated record. Lineage: Eukaryota; Metazoa; Chordata; Ascidiacea; Stolidobranchia; Styelidae.
UUCGAAGAAAAUUGAAAUAAUAUACCCUGUCUUAUUUUAUGGGAAACACGGCAGUUACUUAAGGUUUUAUUUGAUCUUUCGAUUCUAUAAUCAGUUUUUACUCAUUUGUUUUUAUCAAUUAUUUGAUUGUCUGUUAUGCAAAAUAAAGUUAUACUUGUACUAGUUGUCAAUGUUUUCCAAAGCUUUUUUUGAGGUGGAAGGUCAGGGAAAACAUAUACAGUAUACGGUAUUUUAUAUUAUCGGUACUGUGAUAUAAAGUUACAGGAAGCGAAAAUUAUGACGUAGGUAAAUAUAAUAGUGCCAAGUCAUUGUCAAGAGAAUAUUGUAUCGUGAUAAUCGAUAUUCGUUUUGGCCAGGCAGCACUAACUAGUACGGUAGCUUCGUUGUCAAUCGAUUCCUCAUAACUAGAAGGCUUUAGAUUAGGGGUAUCAGAUUUUGAGUACUGUACAGUUCCUACCUAUUCAAACCUCUUCUUUGAUAAAUUUAAGAAUUACGUAUGCUAUCCUACUGUACCGGUACCGUGAAAGACUUCCCGAGCACAACUGAACGAAACGUGUGAAACAGCCCUUAGAGGCAGAAUGUGAAACCACAAUAAUAUAACGGUACCGGUACUGAAAUACAGUCUGACAUUAAUCUGUUAAUGCUGUAAUGGCUGAUUAGGUAUGGUACCGGUACUGAAUUAACUUAGUCGAAACACCCUUUGCUGCUUCGCCUUUUCUUUGUUUGAAUUCUUUUUAUUUUGUUAUUACAACCGUUUUUGAUUAGCUGCAGUAUUCAAAAACAGAAUUGAAGAAGAUAUGAUGGACCAUUUUUUAACAGAAGCAACUUUACUAGUUUGAAACAAAAUGGUAAUCGAGUAAGCACUCUCAAAAUAAGCUUCAAAAAUCAAUUAUGCAAUGUAAAGUGUGGUAUUUAAGCAUAAACGCUGUAUAGACAUUCAGAAACAAUACUUCCUAUUUACAGAUCAGUAUUACUGUAUUAUCAAGUUAAAGAAGUGAAAUGGUUUGCAUACCCUGUAUUGUGAUCCCUUUUUUAUUAUGGGUUUAUCACAAGUAUCUUCAACCGUUCCUGUAUCCAAUAAUAUCAAAAUUCUGGACUCCAAAAUCAUUGGAAUCGAACUCAGAAAAAUCGGGUACUACCGGUAUGAAGUGCCCAGUGACUGGAAAAACUGAAGAAUCACCCCAUGAUAAGAAUAGUACAGAAGAAACGCGAACUAUAGCUGCAGGUGGUGAUAAGAAAACAGACUGAUGAGCUCACGUCAACUCCAAUAGUGCAAUACUGUACCUUUUAUCAUUAGUUCUUAAUGUUUCUUGGUUUUAAUGUAAUUUAGUUGCACAUAUUUUUUUAUCGUAAUCGUCCCAGGAAUACCCAAAAUUGAAGUUGGAACCUAUCCAUAUGCUAGUUGAGUGAAGGAGUAGGUUUUGGGGAUUCCUAUACGUCUCUAUUUCAUUUUAGAAUAACGGUGUAUACUGUAGUUUUAACGGUGUUUUAUUGCAAAUAAAAUCAAGUCCGAGGAAAA